GACGAACGCUGGCGGCGUGCUUAACACAUGCAAGUCGAACGGUGAAGGGACCGGUUUUUGCUGGUUCUAGAUGAGUGGCGAACGGGUGAGUAACACGUGAGUAACCUGCCCCCUUCUUCUGGAUAACCGCAUGAAAGUGUGGCUAAUACGGGAUAUUCUGCGCCUGCUGCAUGGUGGGUGUGGGAAAGAUAUUGUUUCGGUGGGGGAUGGGCUCGCGGCCUAUCAGCUUGUUGGUGGGGUGAUGGCCUACCAAGGCGGUGACGGGUAGCCGGCCUGAGAGGGUGGACGGUCACACUGGGACUGAGACACGGCCCAGACUCCUACGGGAGGCAGCAGUGGGGAAUAUUGCACAAUGGGCGCAAGCCUGAUGCAGCGACGCCGCGUGAGGGAUGGAGGCCUUCGGGUUGUAAACCUCUUUCGCCAGUGAAGCAGGCCUGUCCCUUUUGUGGGUGGGUUGACGGUAGCUGGAUAAGAAGCGCCGGCUAACUACGUG
This 493-nucleotide ribosomal RNA is filed under the name uncultured bacterium. Its description in RNAcentral is "partial 16S ribosomal RNA". It matches the Rfam family "Bacterial small subunit ribosomal RNA", at positions 28 to 507 of the family's 1533-position model. The record is from RNAcentral.